GAUGAAGAACGCAGUGAAAUGCGAUAAGUAAUGUGAAUUGCAGAAUUCAGUGAAUCAUCGAAUCUUUGAACGCACAUUGCGCCCGCCAGUAUUCUGGCGGGCAUGCCUGUUCGAGCGUCAUUUCAACCAUCAAGCCCCCGGCUUGUGUUGGGGACCUGCGGCUGCCGCAGGCCCUGAAAACCAGUGGCGGGCUCGCUGUCACACCGAGCGUAGUAGAUUUUUCAUCUCGCUCAGGGCGUGCUGCGGGUUCCGGCCGUAAAAAGCCUUAUUUACCCAAGGUUGACCUCGGAUCAGGUAGGAAGACCCGCUGAACUUAAGCAUAUCAAUAAGCGGAGGA
This 337-nucleotide unclassified non-coding RNA is filed under the name soil metagenome. RNAcentral's name for it is "partial contains 5.8S ribosomal RNA, internal transcribed spacer 2, and large subunit ribosomal RNA". The stretch from base 1 to 120 matches the Rfam family "5.8S ribosomal RNA", at positions 35 to 154 of the family's 154-position model. The record is from RNAcentral.